CAGAAUCAGAUCUCUUCUCCCUCCCCACUCCUAUGAGAUUUUUUUGGAUCUUCAGCUACAUUUUCGGCUUUCUGAGAAACCCUAUCAUCAAACACAAUGGCCAGCAACGUUACCAACAAGACAGAUCCUCGUUCCAUGAACACCCGUGUAUUCACUGGGAAUCUCAACACUCUUGUGGUCAAGAAAUCUGAUGUGGAGGCAAUCUUUCCGAAGUAUGGCAAAAUUGUGGGCUGCUCUGUUCAUAAGGGCUUUGCUUCAUUCAAUAUGUUAAUGAGAGAAAUGCCCAGGCUGCUGUAGCAGGAGAGGAUGGCAGAAUGAUUGCUGGUCAGGUUUUAGGUAUUAACCUGACUGCAGCACCAAAACUGAACGGAGGAAAAGCAGACGUGAAACAAUCUGCAGCGAUGUACCGCUCUUCUUUUGACCUGGACUAUGAUUUUCAGCGGGAUUAUUGUAAUAGGAGGUACAGUUACCCAGCAUGUGUACCUCCUCCUCCUCCUAUUGCUGGAGGUGUAGUGCCCUCGAAACAUCCGUGUGUAUCAGGAAACACCUCAAGAAGGGAAAAAAGUGGCUUCAAUUUUAAGAGUGGACAGCGGGUAUCUUCCAAGUCUGGAAAGUUGAAAGGAGAUGACCUUCAGGCGGUUAAGAAGGAAUUGACCCAGAUAAAACAAAAAAUGGAUUAUCUCCUGGAAAACCUGGAAAAAAUUGAAAGGGAACAGAGCAAACAAGCAGUAGAGAUGAAAAAUAAGUCAGAAGAGGAGCAGAGCAGCAGCUCCUUGAAGAAAGAUGAGACUAAUUUGAAGUUGGAGUCUGAGGGGGGUGCAAAUAACCCUGCUGAGGAGGGGGACCUACUGGAUGAUGAUGAUAAUGAAGACUUGGGGGAUGACCAGCUGGAGUUGAUCAAGGAUGAAGAAAAAGAGGCCGAGGAAGGAGAGGAUGACGGAGACAGCGCCAAUGGUGAGGAUGACUCUGAAGCACAUAGUGAGGUUUAGAAAUUUUAUUCCAUUAUUUCUUUACCUAGGCACUUGUCUGAGAUCAAAUUUUUCACCAGA
RNA transcript from Mandrillus leucophaeus (drill), 1049 nucleotides. It is a transcript of the gene named heterogeneous nuclear ribonucleoprotein C pseudogene, with no coding region annotated. The record is from RefSeq and is a predicted model, not a curated record. Lineage: Eukaryota; Metazoa; Chordata; Mammalia; Primates; Cercopithecidae. The transcript has a single exon.